Molecule: ribosomal RNA, 253 nt
Filed under: uncultured bacterium
Lineage: Bacteria
Description: partial 16S ribosomal RNA
Rfam family: Bacterial small subunit ribosomal RNA
Source: RNAcentral
UACGGAGGGUGCAAGCGUUGCUCGGAAUUAUUGGGCGUAAAGGGUAGGUAGGUGGUCUUAUUUGUCUGGGGUGAAAGCCUUGAGCUUAACUCAAGAAGUGCCCCAGAAACGGUGAGACUAGAGUCCUGGAGAGGGUCGUGGAAUUCCCGGUGUAGCGGUGAAAUGCGCAGAUAUCGGGAGGAACACCGGUGGCGAAGGCGACUUUCUGGGCUGUAACUGACGCUGAGGCGCGAAAGCGUGGGGAGCAAACAGG